AUACGUAGGGUGCGAGCGUUGUCCGGAAUUACUGGGCGUAAAGAGCUCGUAGGUGGUUUGUCGCGUCGUCUGUGAAAUUCCGGGGCUUAACUCCGGGCGUGCAGGCGAUACGGGCAUAACUUGAGUACUGUAGGGGAGACUGGAAUUCCUGGUGUAGCGGUGAAAUGCGCAGAUAUCAGGAGGAACACCGGUGGCGAAGGCGGGUCUCUGGGCAGUAACUGACGCUGAGGAGCGAAAGUAUGGGUAGCGAACAGGAUUAGAUACCCUGGUAGUCCAUGCCGUAAACGGUGGGCGCUAGGUGUAGGGGUCUUCCACGACUUCUGUGCCGUAGCUAACGCAUUAAGCGCCCCGCCUGGGGAGUACGGCCGCAAGGCUAAAACUCAAAGGAAUUGGCGGGG
Molecule: ribosomal RNA, 398 nt
Filed under: uncultured bacterium
Lineage: Bacteria
Description: partial 16S ribosomal RNA
Rfam family: Bacterial small subunit ribosomal RNA
Source: RNAcentral